This 474-nucleotide ribosomal RNA is filed under the name Brachycephalus sp. Apiai. RNAcentral describes it as "partial 16S ribosomal RNA". It matches the Rfam family "Bacterial large subunit ribosomal RNA", at positions 1846 to 2570 of the family's 2925-position model. The record is from RNAcentral. Lineage: Eukaryota; Metazoa; Chordata; Amphibia; Anura; Brachycephalidae. RNAcentral also lists the same sequence under 3 other names.
UAAGAGGUCCAGCCUGCCCAGUGACUAAAAUUUAACGGCCGCGGUAUCCUGACCGCGCGAAGGUAGCGUAAUCACUUGUUUUUUAAAUAAAGACUAGUAUGAACGGCAUCACGAGGAUCAAACUGUCUCCUUUCCACAAUCAGUGAAACUAAUCUCCCAGUGAAAAAGCUGGGAUUUUACUACAAGACGAAAAGACCCUAUGGAGCUUUAAACAAGUAACUAACACCUUAGUUAUAAGUUUUAGGUUGGGGUGACCGCGGAGAAAAAUCUAUCCUCCUCAAUGAAUGAGUAUUCUAAACAAAAAGUCACAACUUUAUACAUCAACAAAUUGACUUUCUGAUCCAAUAAUUUGAUCAACGAACUAAGUUACCCUAGGGAUAACAGCGCAAUCUACUUUAAGAGUUCUUAUCGACAAGUGGGCUUACGACCUCGAUGUUGGAUCAGGGUCUCCCAGUGGUGCAGCCGCUACUAAAG